ACAUAUAUAGUAUUAAUAAAUAUAUUAGAUUUAGAAUCUAAAGAUAUAUUAUAUGUU
This 57-nucleotide transfer RNA is filed under the name Litoditis aff. marina PmI. RNAcentral describes it as "tRNA-Leu". RNAcentral also lists the same sequence under 2 other names. Lineage: Eukaryota; Metazoa; Nematoda; Chromadorea; Rhabditida; Rhabditidae. The record is from RNAcentral.